RNAcentral lists this microRNA precursor (73 nucleotides) under Pteropus vampyrus (large flying fox). RNAcentral describes it as "miRNA (ENSPVAG00000029386.1)". The record is from RNAcentral. Lineage: Eukaryota; Metazoa; Chordata; Mammalia; Chiroptera; Pteropodidae.
GAGGUAAUGUGGAGUGACUGUCAUGUGCAGCCAACCCAAUAGGUGGCUUGGCUGAAUUUCUAGUUCCUCCUCC